This is a long non-coding RNA of Nerophis ophidion (straightnose pipefish), 632 nucleotides long. RefSeq lists it as uncharacterized. The transcript is spliced from 2 exons. Lineage: Eukaryota; Metazoa; Chordata; Actinopteri; Syngnathiformes; Syngnathidae. The record is from RefSeq and is a predicted model, not a curated record.
AUUUUUUUUUAUGGAAAAUAAUUACAUCUGUGAUUGGAAUAAUGAUCUUAGUGUUGUGUUUCAUAGAGCAUUAAUCAAAAUAACGUUGUUGUUUUUUUUAAUAUUGUGCAGAGACUUUGGACUACACAUCAUGCAGAAGUGAGAGCGGUCAGCAUCAGGACCGAGGUCAGCAGAGUCCACAGAAGCAAGACUGGCGGGAGAUCAACGCCGCCGUGGCCUUGACCAGCCUGGCCCAAGGGCAGAACUGCAGGGCGGACAUCAAGACGGCGCCCGGUGCUGCAGUGGGGCUGAGCUGCGGCGUCUCCAGGACCCCCGCCGCCAUCGCCGCCGUGCCGGGACGGAGCUCCACGCUCACCAGCCGCAUCAUCCAGAGGUCGUCCCACAUCUCCGAGGUGCAGACUAUCAAGGUGGCCUGUGGGAAUCAAACCUGAGGAUAAUAACACGUGCCUUUACAGACUUUGCAGUGACGAGGCUGCUUGUAAAAUAUGAAGGAAAAAAAAAAUGUACCUUCUGUUUUGUUUUUUUGCAAUGUUAACUACGUUGGGAUUUUAAGUUAACUUCCGUGAGACUGGAUCAUCUUCCAAUGCCUUCAUUUGACAGCAACUUUACAAUAAAGUCAAUGUGAAAACUUA